RNAcentral lists this ribosomal RNA (1415 nucleotides) under Klebsiella variicola. RNAcentral's name for it is "bacterial SSU rRNA". It matches the Rfam family "Bacterial small subunit ribosomal RNA". Lineage: Bacteria; Pseudomonadati; Pseudomonadota; Gammaproteobacteria; Enterobacterales; Enterobacteriaceae. The record is from RNAcentral.
GCAAGUCGAGCGGUAGCACAGAGAGCUUGCUCUCGGGUGACGAGCGGCGGACGGGUGAGUAAUGUCUGGGAAACUGCCUGAUGGAGGGGGAUAACUACUGGAAACGGUAGCUAAUACCGCAUAACGUCGCAAGACCAAAGUGGGGGACCUUCGGGCCUCAUGCCAUCAGAUGUGCCCAGAUGGGAUUAGCUGGUAGGUGGGGUAACGGCUCACCUAGGCGACGAUCCCUAGCUGGUCUGAGAGGAUGACCAGCCACACUGGAACUGAGACACGGUCCAGACUCCUACGGGAGGCAGCAGUGGGGAAUAUUGCACAAUGGGCGCAAGCCUGAUGCAGCCAUGCCGCGUGUGUGAAGAAGGCCUUCGGGUUGUAAAGCACUUUCAGCGGGGAGGAAGGCGGUGAGGUUAAUAACCUCAUCGAUUGACGUUACCCGCAGAAGAAGCACCGGCUAACUCCGUGCCAGCAGCCGCGGUAAUACGGAGGGUGCAAGCGUUAAUCGGAAUUACUGGGCGUAAAGCGCACGCAGGCGGUCUGUCAAGUCGGAUGUGAAAUCCCCGGGCUCAACCUGGGAACUGCAUUCGAAACUGGCAGGCUAGAGUCUUGUAGAGGGGGGUAGAAUUCCAGGUGUAGCGGUGAAAUGCGUAGAGAUCUGGAGGAAUACCGGUGGCGAAGGCGGCCCCCUGGACAAAGACUGACGCUCAGGUGCGAAAGCGUGGGGAGCAAACAGGAUUAGAUACCCUGGUAGUCCACGCUGUAAACGAUGUCGAUUUGGAGGUUGUGCCCUUGAGGCGUGGCUUCCGGAGCUAACGCGUUAAAUCGACCGCCUGGGGAGUACGGCCGCAAGGUUAAAACUCAAAUGAAUUGACGGGGGCCCGCACAAGCGGUGGAGCAUGUGGUUUAAUUCGAUGCAACGCGAAGAACCUUACCUGGUCUUGACAUCCACAGAACUUUCCAGAGAUGGAUUGGUGCCUUCGGGAACUGUGAGACAGGUGCUGCAUGGCUGUCGUCAGCUCGUGUUGUGAAAUGUUGGGUUAAGUCCCGCAACGAGCGCAACCCUUAUCCUUUGUUGCCAGCGGUCCGGCCGGGAACUCAAAGGAGACUGCCAGUGAUAAACUGGAGGAAGGUGGGGAUGACGUCAAGUCAUCAUGGCCCUUACGACCAGGGCUACACACGUGCUACAAUGGCAUAUACAAAGAGAAGCGACCUCGCGAGAGCAAGCGGACCUCAUAAAGUAUGUCGUAGUCCGGAUUGGAGUCUGCAACUCGACUCCAUGAAGUCGGAAUCGCUAGUAAUCGUAGAUCAGAAUGCUACGGUGAAUACGUUCCCGGGCCUUGUACACACCGCCCGUCACACCAUGGGAGUGGGUUGCAAAAGAAGUAGGUAGCUUAACCUUCGGGAGGGCGCUUACCACUUUG